This 73-nucleotide transfer RNA is filed under the name Marmota marmota marmota (Alpine marmot). It matches the Rfam family "tRNA". Rfam says of the family: Transfer RNA (tRNA) molecules are approximately 80 nucleotides in length. Their secondary structure includes four short double-helical elements and three loops (D, anti-codon, and T loops). Further hydrogen bonds mediate the characteristic L-shaped molecular structure. tRNAs have two regions of fundamental functional importance: the anti-codon, which is responsible for specific mRNA codon recognition, and the 3' end, to which the tRNAs corresponding amino acid is attached (by aminoacyl-tRNA synthetases). tRNAs cope with the degeneracy of the genetic code in two manners: having more than one tRNA (with a specific anti-codon) for a particular amino acid; and 'wobble' base-pairing, i.e. permitting non-standard base-pairing at the 3rd anti-codon position. Lineage: Eukaryota; Metazoa; Chordata; Mammalia; Rodentia; Sciuridae. RNAcentral also lists the same sequence under 1 other name. The record is from Rfam by way of RNAcentral.
GGGGAUGUAGCUCAGUUGGUAGAGUGCUUGUCUUGCAUGCAAAAUGCCCUGGGUUCAAUCCCCAGCACCACCU